This 301-nucleotide ribosomal RNA is filed under the name uncultured bacterium. Its description in RNAcentral is "partial 16S ribosomal RNA". It matches the Rfam family "Bacterial small subunit ribosomal RNA", at positions 509 to 807 of the family's 1533-position model. The record is from RNAcentral.
CAGUCGCCGCGGGAAUACGAAGGGGGCUAGCGUUGUUCGGAUUUACUGGGCGUAAAGGGCGCGUAGGCGGACUGAUAAGUCAGGGGUGAAAUCCCAAGGCUCAACCUUGGAACUGCCUUUGAUACUGUUUGUCUUGAGUUCGAGAGAGGUAAGUGGAACUGCGAGUGUAUAGGUGAAAUUCGUGGAUAUUCGCAAGAACACCAGUGGCGAAGGCGGCUUACUGGCUCGAAACUGACGCUGAGGCGCGAAAGCGUGGGGAGCAAACAGGAUUAGAUACCCCUGUAGUCCCUGUCUCUUAUAC